AGAUGGCAGAGCGGAGCAGCACAUGCAUAGAAGGAACCUGGAAUAGCUGUUUGCUACGCCUGUGCUGGUGAUGUUAUUGGAGGCUUCUGGAAUUUCUAGACAAAAGAUGGCGAUAUGUGCGGAGCUCACAUGCGCAAAGCAAACCCGGAAAAGCCCUUCCCAUAGUCCUGCGCUGGUGUCGUCAUCGCAGGCUGAAACUACGUUUCCCAGAUGGCAGAGCAAGCGGAGCAGCACUAGUAGUAAGGAAAUUUGAACAGCUGUUCAGUACUCCUGUGCUGGUGAUGCUGUUGGAGGGUGAGACGACAUUUCUAACAAGUCUCUGCCAUCACCCUUUAGGGACCAAAGGAGAAAAUUUUGUUAAUUUUCUCAGCAGGGAUUCUUGCUACCAGGAGAUGAGGACCUGACGGAUCAAGACUGGGCUCUAUCCAUGUUAUUGUGAGGUGGAAUUCUGAUUAUUUAUUAAAUCCUUGUUUGGCAACCUGGGGCAUUGUGAGAAUAAUGGGGUAAAUUCGAAUGUGGGCCAAUUACAGCAUGACAUUAAUAAGUAAUUUUACUUUUUUAGUUGUCAUAUAGGUAUUGCUAUUAUAGAACCCAUGUUUAUUUUUGCAGAUGCGUCUUAGAGGAUGAAAAAAUCAUGCAUCUAUUUUCCUUUAAAUGGCUAAACAAAUGAGAAAUUAAUAUGGUAGUUCUCUUCCAAGCAAUUAGAAAAUGUUUGUUCUCAUCCAAUAAACUAAUUUGCCUGUCUUCAAUGAA
Long non-coding RNA from Galeopterus variegatus (Sunda flying lemur), 753 nucleotides. RefSeq lists it as uncharacterized. The transcript is spliced from 2 exons. The record is from RefSeq and is a predicted model, not a curated record. Lineage: Eukaryota; Metazoa; Chordata; Mammalia; Dermoptera; Cynocephalidae.